Topomyia yanbarensis is the source of this 1261-nucleotide long non-coding RNA. RefSeq lists it as uncharacterized. The record is from RefSeq and is a predicted model, not a curated record. Lineage: Eukaryota; Metazoa; Arthropoda; Insecta; Diptera; Culicidae. The transcript has 3 exons.
CAGUUUAUGAAAGAGAAAACUUUUCUCUUUCGUUUACUACCAACAUCUGUGAUUGGCGUGUAACGGUUUGUCCGGAAUUUCCAUUCAAAGUGGAUUUUGACAGUUGGCUUUUAGGCCGUAAUCAUAUGUUUGUCGAGAAUUUUCAUGCAUUUUCUAGCAUAUACUUCUAGUAAAUAUUCAAUGAGUGGAUAGACCGAAUACGUCCAAUGCACAAAAUUUGCAGCAGAAGAAACGAGAGGCAGAUCAAAAAGUAUGAUAUCGGUGAUUAAAAAAAAGUUCUGCGUAUGCCUGGUCCAGACAUUUACAGACUUUUAAAACAGUAAUAAACUGACCGAUUUUCUUCAGAAAAUAAUAGAUGUGUCCCAGCAUGCAAAGAAUUACGAAUCAAAUACCGUUCAUACUUUUACCAUUUAGAUUUUUUUUAAGAAAUUUAGAACUUAAUCUUUCACGGAAUCUUUUUGGUCUUUUUCGGAGUAACGAACCAAUGAUCUCUAAAUGCGCAGGUAUCCUUCUGUUGAUCAACAGCAUGCGGCAGCUGUUCAAAUCGUAAAAUUAUUUCCACAACUUAGUAAUACGCGAGUCACACCAACUGCUCCUGAUGAGUCAUUUUUCUUUUGGCGCAACGGAGGCAAGGAAAAGGGUGCUCAUACUGGCAUGAUAUUUCAUCGCAUCCGGAAUGUCAUCAAACAGCUACCUGCAGGAAAACAUAAAUAUAAUCGAGGAACUAUGCCUGUAGAAGAGUCCGUUUCAACUGAACUUGUAGAGCGGGCUUAAUUGCUCCGAGUAAUGCUUGCAUCGGCAUCAGUAGCAGAACAUAUUUGUGAUGAAAUGGACCGAUGCUUUCCAGUCCUCAAACUGUUAUUAAAAGAAAAGAAACCCGUUAAUGAUAUCUUGGAUAUGUUUCCACACCUGUGUUCAUAUGAAGGAUUGGUGGUAACAUGUUUAUUUUUUAUUAUUUACUAUUUCACUUUAUGGUAUUCACGGAACAUAUGAAUAUUUAUAUCAUAUCACUUUUUCUAGAUUCGUCAAAUGUUUGAGAGAUUGUAUCCUAACAGAACAGAAGGUCUCAAAAUCGAGGAUGUCUUCUCUCAGUGUCUAUCUUAUUCACCGUCCAGAUUCUCUAGAGUAGAAGAUGAUCACAUUCGAGGAUGCUUGAGAAUAAUUUCUCAUAUGCCAAUUCGCGGACAAAAAAGAACGCUGGUAGGCUGUCCAACUGUAGGCGAAGAACAUUCGGCUUCAAUUUUAAUUCGUUGGAUUGGGG